This 506-nucleotide ribosomal RNA is filed under the name uncultured bacterium. RNAcentral's name for it is "partial 16S ribosomal RNA". It matches the Rfam family "Bacterial small subunit ribosomal RNA", at positions 30 to 523 of the family's 1533-position model. The record is from RNAcentral.
AUUGAACGCUGGCGGCAGGCUUAACACAUGCAAGUCGAGCGGUAACAGAGAGAAGCUUGCUUCUCUGCUGACGAGCGGCGGACGGGUGAGUAAUGCCUAGGAAUCUGCCUAGUAGUGGGGAAUAACUUGCCGAAAGGUAAGCUAAUACCGCAUACGUCCUACGGGAGAAAGGAGGGGACCUUCGGGCCUUUCGCUAUUAGAUGAGCCUAGGUCGGAUUAGUUAGUUGGUGAGGUAAUGGCUAACCAAGACCGCGAUCCGUAACUGGUCUGAGAGGAUGAUCAGUCACACUGGAACUGAGACACGGUCCAGACUCCUACGGGAGGCAGCAGUGGGGAAUAUUGGACAAUGGGGGGAACCCUGAUCCAGCCAUGCCGCGUGUGUGAAGAAGGUCUUAGGAUUGUAAAGCACUUUAAGUUGGGAGGAAGAGCAGUUAACUAAUAUUUGACUGUUUUGACGUUACCGACAGAAUAAGCACCGGCUAACUUCGUGCCAGCAGCCGCGGUAA